AUUGAACGCUGGCGGCAUGCCUUACACAUGCAAGUCGAACGGUAACGCGGGGGCAACCCUGGCGACGAGUGGCGAACGGGUGAGUAAUACAUCGGAACAUAUCCAGUAGCGGGGGAUAACCUAUCGAAAGAUUGGCUAAUACCGCAUACGAUCUACGGAUGAAAGCGGGGGACCGCAAGGCCUCGCACUAUUGGAGUGGCCGAUGUCAGAUUAGCUAGUUGGUGGGGUAAAAGCCUACCAAGGCGACGAUCUGUAGCUGGUCUGAGAGGACGAUCAGCCACCCUGGAACUGAGACACGGUCCAGACUCCUACGGGAGGCAGCAGUGGGGAAUUUUGGACAAUGGGCGCAAGCCUGAUCCAGCCAUGCCGCGUGAGUGAAGAAGGCCUUCGGGUUGUAAAGCUCUUUCGGUGAAGACGAAACGGUUAGUGUUAAUAACACUGACUAAUGACGGUACUCACAGAAGAAGCACCGGCUAACUACGUGCCAGCAGCCGCGGUAA
Molecule: ribosomal RNA, 500 nt
Filed under: uncultured bacterium
Lineage: Bacteria
Description: partial 16S ribosomal RNA
Rfam family: Bacterial small subunit ribosomal RNA
Source: RNAcentral